This 254-nucleotide ribosomal RNA is filed under the name uncultured bacterium. Its description in RNAcentral is "partial 16S ribosomal RNA". It matches the Rfam family "Bacterial small subunit ribosomal RNA", at positions 524 to 776 of the family's 1533-position model. RNAcentral also lists the same sequence under 1 other name. The record is from RNAcentral.
UACGGGGGGAGCAAGCGUUGUUCGGAUUUACUGGGCGUAAAGGGCGCGUAGGCGGUCGUGACAAGUCACUUGUGAAAUCUCCGGGCUUAACUCGGAACGGUCAAGUGAUACUGUCGGACUAGAGUACAGAAGGGGCAACUGGAAUUCUCGGUGUAGCGGUGAAAUGCGCAGAUAUCAGGAGGAACACCAAUGGCGAAGGCAGCUCGCUGGGACGUGACUGACGCUGAGACGCGAAAGCGUGGGGAGCAAACAGG